Molecule: transfer RNA, 63 nt
Filed under: Rattus norvegicus (Norway rat)
Lineage: Eukaryota; Metazoa; Chordata; Mammalia; Rodentia; Muridae
Rfam family: tRNA
About the family: Transfer RNA (tRNA) molecules are approximately 80 nucleotides in length.
Source: Rfam by way of RNAcentral
GGGGAUUUAGCUCAGUGGUAAAGCACUUGCCUAGCAAGUGCAAGGCCCUGGGUUCAGUCCCCA